UUCGACCAAAAUUUUGGUCACUAGCAGCCUCCCCAGACCACGUAGGCAUCCAGCAUGGAAAGCUGAUGUGGCACAAGAAUUAGCCCGGCCCAAUUCGGUUUUCUACAUGGGCCUAGCCCAACAAUUAGGCCUUUUUAAUGUAUUUUUUCCUGUGCUUUUAUUAGCUACAUGGGUCUGGCCCAACAAUUCAGCCUUAUUGAUUUCUUUGCGUGGCCCUUUUAACAGCAGAUUUUCUUUUUGAUCAUGUAUUUUUCUGGGCCAUUUCUUUGUUGGGCCUCCCAUGUUUUUCCCUCAAAAUAAUUGUCCAAUAUAACUUGGGCCUCGCCCAGUUCCGAAAAAAUUGAUCCAAUCCAAAAACAAUUAUUAUGCCAUUGACAUUACAACACAUCACACCACAAGAUAUCUUGGGCCUAGCCCAGUUCUGACACAUUUUCAAAGCAACAUACAAUGUUAUUAUUACAACCAUUCAUUCCAGCAAUACUAUUUGAGGCUGGCUGGCUGGCUGAGCUACUACUGACUGACUGCGGGCUAACUCUAAGUUUUUACAACAGGUGAAUCAGAAACCUAACGCUACCGCAUUUGCAUGGCGCUGCUGAAAUACUCCAGGAUCGUGAAAAAAAAUUAGAACUAGCCUAUCUGGUACUUCACAGCAACCAAACAUGUAAUCUGCUUAAUGGAAAGAUUUCUUCUCCAAGUCCCGCUUCUCCCUUAGCAAUGACAGGCUGAUGCAAAACAUCUGAGCAUUCAAAAGAGAACAAAAGGUAUGUCACUGAUAGAAUACAGAGUACUUUUAAAUAAAAAGUAAAGAUACACCAGUAUAUUAUCAUUCUACAUAUUAUUAUUAUUAACCAGAUCAUUCUACUUAUCCAGAAUAUGGCUAUUCAUCAAAAUUGGGAAUUGAAUUGGCACAUAUGACAAACUUAGCAGCAAACGAGCAAGGUGCAUGAUUCAAAGUUACAACAGAUCGAAGUUCCAUUUGAGUAUAAGGAAUAAAAUUCAUAUUCAAUCA
RNAcentral lists this long non-coding RNA (1009 nucleotides) under Triticum aestivum (bread wheat). Its description in RNAcentral is "long non-coding RNA (TAES_LNC016544)". Lineage: Eukaryota; Viridiplantae; Streptophyta; Magnoliopsida; Poales; Poaceae. The record is from RNAcentral.